CCUUGCCCAUUGACAAAAAAAGUUAUUCAUUUCCUCGUGUCAUUCCAUCAUCUCUCCCAUUUCUCCCAAACCUAAGUAAAGAGCGGCCUCAACUAUGGCGUGAGCUCUCUUGCCAACUGGCCAAGCACGCACUGGCGGACCCAUAGUGGCGUGAUCCACCAACUAAAGAGGAUUUUUUUUUAAAAAGUAAUUCAAAAAUGAUGAAAAUGGGUUUAAUCAAAGAACCCUUCCAGUUUCGAAUUCAAAGAAUGCCGUUACCAAACUGAAAUUCAAUGCAAGAAAUCGUCCUAUUCCCAACUCAAUCUCAUCACGAGAGAAACCCCUCGGCUCCGCGGCUUCCAAUUCUAAACUUUGAAGUAAAACCCAGUAAUUCAAUCCUCCCUUGCCAAUCACUUGCCUGACGCCCUUCGCCGACGAUUCAUUGACUGCAAACUGGAAAACAAGAUAGGAAAUGAUCAAGUCACGAGCUCUGUUUUCUUUGGCUUAUACACUUGGAAAUGUAAGGAGAUUAUUUCGGUUUUGUGCAAUUUUAUCUCGGGAUUAAAUUUCUUAUUCUCUUUAAUUUCUAGAAUUUCCAGAUUCCCUUUUUUUUUUUUUUUUUUUUUUUUGGUUCACUCAAAUUUUUUACUAUGGAAAAUAUUGAAGUGGUUAAUUUGAAUAUAUUAAUUGGAAAUCAUUGAAAAGUUAUUUUUUGUGAUGGAUAAUGGAUUCUGUAACUAAUACCAUUCUUCCUUCAUUUUCCUAUAUUUUUUUCAUUCAAAAAUGCAAUUAAGUCCCUUUUUUCUAUUAGUUGAAAUAUAUACUUAGUGCUGCCUGCUCCUACGCUGUCAUGCCAUUCCAUCGCUACUUGCUUCCAGUCCUCCACCAUGGUCCGCCAGAGUGUUAACGUUAGUAUAGUGUUCUGAUUUCACUUCUUGUCUAGUGGCUCCCGCCAAUUUUCGAUUUUUGUGAAUUUGUGAUUUGAAAAUUGUAAAAUUUGUGAUGGAUAAUUGAUUUAGGAUUUGUGUUUGUGAAUUGUGAUAUUUAGUUGGGG
This 1033-nucleotide long non-coding RNA is filed under the name Olea europaea (common olive). Its description in RNAcentral is "long non-coding RNA (OEUR_LNC008398)". The record is from RNAcentral. Lineage: Eukaryota; Viridiplantae; Streptophyta; Magnoliopsida; Lamiales; Oleaceae.